RNAcentral lists this long non-coding RNA (402 nucleotides) under Manihot esculenta (cassava). RNAcentral's name for it is "long non-coding RNA (MESC_LNC008715)". Lineage: Eukaryota; Viridiplantae; Streptophyta; Magnoliopsida; Malpighiales; Euphorbiaceae. The record is from RNAcentral.
GUUGCAUUGCAUUUAUGAUGUUGAUGUGGAUUGGUUAUUGGAUGAUCCUUUAGUCCUCAUAUGGUAUGAUGAUGUUAUGGCAUGAUAUGGUAUGGAAGUCCAGGUUGUACCCAUUCUACGUCCCUGGCACGAUGUAAGAGAAAGUCCAGGUUGUACCCAUUCUACGUCCCUGGCACAUUGGUAUAUUAUGAUAUGUUAUGUUAAGGGAAAGACCGGUUGUACCCAUUCUACGUCCCGGCACAGUUGGACUAUGUAAAGGACUAUAGGUGACAAUACCAUCCGAGAUGUGAUUUGUUGUGAUGUGUUGCAUUUCAUGAAAGCAUGAAAUUUUAUUAUAUGAUUUCACUAUUCUGCUCACUGGGCUUUGUAGCUCACCCCUCUCCCCUAACCCCAGAUGUGCAG